GCCCAGAUGAUCGUCGGUGGUUCGGUGUGCGGUCUUCAAACCCGUAGCUGACGAGAGUCAGAGUUUUUCAAUUCCAGUUUAUGGGCG
Molecule: non-coding RNA, 87 nt
Organism: Uloborus diversus
Lineage: Eukaryota; Metazoa; Arthropoda; Arachnida; Araneae; Uloboridae
Source: the annotation of a RefSeq genome assembly